RNAcentral lists this ribosomal RNA (316 nucleotides) under uncultured prokaryote. RNAcentral's name for it is "bacterial SSU rRNA". It matches the Rfam family "Bacterial small subunit ribosomal RNA", at positions 8 to 352 of the family's 1533-position model. The record is from RNAcentral.
AGAGUUUGAUCCUGGCUCAGAACGAACGCUGGCGGCAUGCCUAACACAUGCAAGUCGAACGAGACCUUCGGGUCUAGUGGCGCACGGGUGCGUAACGCGUGGGAACCUGCCCUUAGGUUCGGAAUAACUCCCCGAAAGGGGUGCUAAUACCGGAUAAUGUCUUCGGACCAAAGAUUUAUCGCCUUUGGAUGGGCCCGCGUUGGAUUAGCUAGUUGGUAGGGUAAAAGCCUACCAAGGCGACGAUCCAUAGCUGGUCUGAGAGGAUGAUCAGCCACACUGGGACUGAGACACGGCCCAGACUCCUACGGGAGGCGAC